This 715-nucleotide ribosomal RNA is filed under the name uncultured bacterium. RNAcentral describes it as "bacterial SSU rRNA". It matches the Rfam family "Bacterial small subunit ribosomal RNA", at positions 785 to 1501 of the family's 1533-position model. The record is from RNAcentral.
CCCUGGUAGUCCACGCCGUAAACGAUGUCGACUUGGAGGUUGUUCCCUUGAGGAGUGGCUUCCGGAGCUAACGCGUUAAGUCGACCGCCUGGGGAGUACGGCCGCAAGGUUAAAACUCAAAUGAAUUGACGGGGGCCCGCACAAGCGGUGGAGCAUGUGGUUUAAUUCGAUGCAACGCGAAGAACCUUACCUACUCUUGACAUCCAGAGAACUUAGCAGAGAUGCUUUGGUGCCUUCGGGAACUCUGAGACAGGUGCUGCAUGGCUGUCGUCAGCUCGUGUUGUGAAAUGUUGGGUUAAGUCCCGCAACGAGCGCAACCCUUAUCCUUUGUUGCCAGCGAUUCGGUCGGGAACUCAAAGGAGACUGCCGGUGAUAAACCGGAGGAAGGUGGGGAUGACGUCAAGUCAUCAUGGCCCUUACGAGUAGGGCUACACACGUGCUACAAUGGCGCAUACAAAGAGAAGCGACCUCGCGAGAGCAAGCGGACCUCAUAAAGUGCGUCGUAGUCCGGAUCGGAGUCUGCAACUCGACUCCGUGAAGUCGGAAUCGCUAGUAAUCGUGGAUCAGAAUGCCACGGUGAAUACGUUCCCGGGCCUUGUACACACCGCCCGUCACACCAUGGAGUGGGUUGCAAAAGAAGUAGGUAGCUUAACCUUCGGGAGGGCGCUUACCACUUUGUGAUUCAUGACUGGGGUGAAGUCGUAACAAGGUAACC